GUACGUCCGACCUAACCUAACCUAACGAACCUCUACGAAUGCGAUCACGCGGUCCCGCUCGUGCACGUACAAGCCAGAAGUCCGUUGCGAGUGACAGUGAGAGUAGUGCGCACAGAGUCCGCGUAGGUGGUGUUGGUGGUAAAGUAGGAAGGUAAGGAAGAUCCCGAGGGAAGAAGGAGGUGGGACGAAGGAGCGAGAAAGAAGCGUGUAACCAGCCGAGCUAAAUCAUAACGCGGAAGGUGGCGCGUGUAAUCUCGUUGACGCAGCGCGCCUUUCCGCCACCCCGUAGAAGAGAAGAUCGCCCGUUAAACGGGCCGUGCCUCGCACGUUCCUUCGUUAUUAAAAUACCGAGCAAACAGCCGUCGAAGAGGGUGCCAGAUAGAUAUCGGUAACAUCUGGUACAGCUUCGAGUUCUAGUUUCAGUUUUAUUCAACGAGAGGACUGUACGUUGUCUGGUAUUGGCAACAUAACCUAACAUGUCAUAUCCGAAGUUCCUUAGCGUUACGAAGACACCAAGUCUCGUAUGCCAGCCGCAUCCCAACUAAAGCUUCAAAGAGCAUUAGCAUACUGGCCGCUGUAUGACUGGACCGUGCGUGUGUGGGCAUUCGGUGAGCACAAUUAACUCGUUAUCUUAUCGCGCGGCAGUGCAGUCCAAACAUAAAGGUGUCCCCUCGCUAAAUUUACGUAUGACGACAGAAGUACUGCGAACUUCAAUUGAAGAUGGCGACUUACCAGAUUGUUACUGGCGUAUGGACAGUGUCGACACUUGUAAGGUUUUACGCCAGUGUGACGACGUACGUGACGUCUCAUGUGCGACGUCAAAUUGGUCCUGAAUUGGCAGCCGGAGUAAGGACAAGAUUGAUAACUGGAAUCUUUGAACUCGUCGGUACGCAGCUCGUGCCUUCGGGUGUGCCUGAAAUCAGGAUAUAAAAUUAAUCUUCAAGACGACGUUUAUCGGCAUGGAUUACCGUGCGAGUUUAUUGACAUCGGCAGAUGUCGCAUCAAGCGAAUAUGACUGAUGCUCAUAUACGCAUGGAGUAUAGAUAUGCCCAUAAGCACGUAAUGGCUCGUUUCCAAAGCUCGACCACCGGUGCCACCUACCAUGCGUGGUAUAUCAGUUUCGAAAUGCGUGACACGUUUAAUUAAAAUGCUGUAUGAUUUACUCCGCCGCACACUGCGACACCGUCGCGUUACCCCACGGACUCUCACGGUAAGUACUCAAUUCGCGAUGAAAUAUCGUGGCCACCUCGCAAAUCUACAACCUACAAACCGUCCACCACCUACCACCUACAAGGGUCCCAAAUACGGCGUCCAUUAUGGGCUCUAUGAUCGUACAACAGGGAUUCGCCAAGUCCCACCACUUCAGGAACUUUUCUUCACCCUAACCUCAACCUGGACCUCGGCUCACGCUUCAGCAUGGGACCGAACCUGAACCUGGUUGACAGAGUGUCCCGACUACGCGUGUACAAUGGUACAAAAAAAAAAAGAAAAGGCAGGAAAAAAAUAAGACAAGCAAGAAAGAGGAGCAUCCUGACGAGUCGCUUGACUUUUACAACGCUCCGGGAAAUGCGUGGGCGUUUUUAUUAGCCCCGAGGAGCGGCGUCGAGAGUUCCAACGACAAUGGUGAAAAAAGACAAGCUCAGUGGACUCUGGACACACCUUCUCAGCUGUAUCGAUGUCUUGGCCGCGUAAGGACAUACGGAACAGGUGUACUUCCGGUCCUGUGCGGAAGUCUCGUGCACCAGGAGUCUGUGGGACCUCAGUUCGGCGGCUGUACGUAGGAUCGUCGGGCAGCCUGGAAGUCCGCACUUGAAUCUUUUACCAGCAUGGCGUAGCAUGUGUUGUCGAAGAGCGUGUCUGAAGGAGAAAAAAUAUAUAUAUAUAUAUACCGAGUGAGACAGAGAAAAAAGAAAGAGAGAGCAUUUGUAUAUGCUACAUGUGUGCGUAAUGAAAAAAAAAAAUACAAAAUAAAUACAAGAGGUCGAGACUGGUCGAGCCACGGAAUGUUCCAGCAUCGGCAUGGAAGCUGGAAUCGAAACGGGAAUUCUUCAGGAUCGGCUGAUAGGCAAUGGCCGGCAGGGCCGCGAGAUCUGGGCUGUCCGAUAGGCGAAGAACCCGGCUGCAAUUGGCUACGCAAGUGUAACAAAGAGUUUUACAUUGUGGGGGAUAUACACGCCCAGGCGCGAGUAUAUCCACUUUACAUACGUUAUUCGCGUACGCAUCUCUAAGAAGGUAUCAAGAAUUGCAGAAGAAAUUAUCAAGAGACUUUUCAAAGCUUCGUUCGCCAUGAGGAUGCCUCGUAAGGAUAUCUUAUACGUAUAUGCCUGUAGUUAGCGACUAAAUAGAUGCUGGCAGAGAUUAAUGGAAUACGGUAGUAGGAAUUAUAAAAGAAAAAGAAAAAAUUAUGAAAUCUGAAAAUUCUAGAUGUAACGUUACAACUGCGACUAUGCGAGACUUGAUAACCGAUAAUGAAUUGUUAUCGCUCAUGCGACUGUCGCUCGCGCGACUAAAGCCGCACGAUCAAGAUCAAAGUUUCGAACUAGGCGGUCGGUCGCUGCGUCAGGAAUUAAGGGAGCCGCCCGAAAUAGAGGAACUAUGCUAAUGCGCGACGGGCUGGUUUAUGGACGGUCGCUGAUGAGAGAUCGGCAGUUUUUGUGGAAUGUCGCAGGCGUGACAAGACGCCAUUAGCCGCACGGCCUAUUCGUCGUUGGGCAACCGGAUGCGGUCACUCUCGAUAAUUUACCUUUGAACUGUCAUCGUGUAAAAUACGUCGGUGCGCGACAUUAUUUAAAAGUAUAAUCCUGUCGGCCGUUAAUUAUUAGAUUCGUCAAUAACACGUAGACGUACGUUAACUGGCCGGGCUCUUGUGACAUUUCGACAAAUAACAGGAUGGGAAAGAGAAAAAUAUCAAUAACGAAGAAACCCGUUCUCCAUAGUCAUUGGGACAUUUCCGGAUGACGCUCGUUCCUAGAUACAACCUCAAUGUCGAUUUGCCAAUAAUGAUAUCGGAUGAUGGUGCGAAUUUUUCCUUCUACCCAACAAACUGCUGAGACUCAACUUUUAUUUCAUUAACGUUCAGAAUCCCGUGAGGGUGUGCUAUCGCUUGAACCGGUCAAUAAAUAUAAAUCAUCCGGAGCGCAGCUAAUCAAUGAAAAACCUCGUAAAUCCUAAGUGACAAUUCGUGUAAUUAAAAUCAAGUAGCUAACUAUAGGAUAUAGGAGUUCGCUUGAAUGGCUAUGUAUAUACGUUGACUUCAGGGAUUCACGGACACCAUGGAUUCAUGGUCCGAGUAGGUAAGGUAGGUUAAUAUAACCUGGAUGGGUCUCUAGGAGUUCAGGUUGGGAAUGGCAAAACGAGUGAAGCGCCCAUCCGUGUACAACGAAGAGGGAACCAUGGGAGUGAGCACGGGCAUUAAUUAAAAAGGUUGCGCAUUAAAA
This is a long non-coding RNA of Cephus cinctus (wheat stem sawfly), 3437 nucleotides long. RefSeq lists it as uncharacterized. NCBI's taxonomy places the organism in Eukaryota, Metazoa, Arthropoda, Insecta, Hymenoptera, Cephidae. The transcript has 6 exons. The record is from RefSeq and is a predicted model, not a curated record.